GGACUCCCUGCCGCAAACCUAAACAUAUAUGGGAGGGUCUGGGUGGGCAUCUAACUUUGGUGGCGGCUCUGGUUCUGGACGCUGCCCCCCUUCUUUACAUUGAGCCAUCCGCCCUUGUAGCACUGACCCGUGGAUCAUCGCCGGAGGCUCAUUGCUGCGGUUCAUCGCUGGCGACCCCGGACUGGGAACCUUUCCUGUAGACCCCGGACUGGGGACCGUCGCUGGAGACCCCGGGCUGGUGACACGCACCUCAGGGCGAGUGCGGGGAGGAGGAACAGGGCGUACUGGGCUCUGGAGACGCACAGGAAGCCUGGUGCGUGGUGCCGGCACUGGUGGUACCGGGCUGGGGACACGCACCUCAGGGCGAGUGUGGGGAGCAGGAACAGUACACACCGGGUUGUGACGGUACACUGGAGACCUGGUGUGUAUAGCCGGCAUAAAUUUUUCUGGAACUUUGACACGUUUCAGGAUGAAUACGAGGAACUGACACAGGUGGCAUUGGACAGCUAACAUGCUCCUCAGGGCGAAUGCCAUGCAUACUACACCAAACCAACAGCUCUCUCUCUUCACUCUCCUCCAAUCUGUCCAAUAACUCCUCGACAAUCUCAGACUCACCCCUCAACUUCGCCGACUGCUCCAUGUGCCUCCCCAAAAAAUCUUGGGGUUUCUGUGGCCUACCUCCCCGACGUUGUUGCUGUCCUCUCUUACUUCUCUGUUCCUCCUGCUUUGUUUCCACCUGCCUCCAUGGUAGGCAAUCCUCUCCUGCCAAAAUCUCCUCCCACGUCCAGGAUCCUUUACCGUCCAGUAUUUCGUCCCAGGUCCAUUUUUCCACCAAGCGCUGUUCCUCCCUUUCACGCUGCUUGGUCCAGGUUUGAUGGGUUAUUCUAUCACGUUCGUCAUAACGAGGAGACCAAGGCGCAGCAUGAUAUGAAUACAUUCCUCUUUAAUAAAAGAGAACACUGAACAAACUAAACAAAUCAACAAAACAACCGUGAAGCUAUAUAUAACGAGUGUUGACAUACAACUAACCAUCAACAAUAACCCACAAAAUACCCAAGGAAUAUGGCUACCUAAAUAUGGUCCCCAAUCAGAGACAACGAUAAACAGCUGCCUCUGAUUGAGAACCAAUCCAGGCAACCAUAGACAUAUAAACCCCUAGACUAGUAAACACCAUAAACAUACAAAAACCCUAGACAGGAUAAAAACACAUAUACCCACCCUCGUCACACCCUGACCUGACCAAAAUAAUACAGAACACAUGGAUAACUAAGGUCAGGGCGUGACAGAUGCGAUAAGAUCAUGGGAUCAGAUCAUCCCACUCUACCUUUUGUGGUUGAGGUAGACGCAUCGGAGGUGGGUCUGGGGGAAGUUUGGACACAACGACAGGGGAGACCCACUAAAAUUGUAUCCUUGUGCUUUCUUCUCCGAGAAACUGUGCCCCGCAGAGAGCAAUUAUGAAAUCGGCGAUCGGGAGCUCUCGGCGGUGAAGUAGCUGGAGGAUGCCAAGGAACGAUUCGUCAUCCUCACCGACCAUCGGAACCUUGAGUACAUAUGGAGACUGAAUCUGCGCCAAGCCAGAGUGCUUAAAAGGACUCACCAAGAAUUAACAUACCAGACCAGAAAGCGUGAAGCGGUGGCUACAUGUUGAAAUGGAUAGAAUCUCUGAAACUACCAACACAAACUGAGAAGAUAAUCUACACUACGAGACCAGUCUGCAGCUGUGCAUGUAAGAGUGGUCCUAGAACUUUGACUAAAGACAUGAGGUGGAAAGGAGAAUCCCAUCUCAGACAACCGUUGGUGCAUUUGAAGUAUCUAUUUAAACAAACACUUCACUAUUGGAG
This is a long non-coding RNA of Oncorhynchus tshawytscha (Chinook salmon), 1841 nucleotides long. The record is from Ensembl. NCBI's taxonomy places the organism in Eukaryota, Metazoa, Chordata, Actinopteri, Salmoniformes, Salmonidae.